GACGAACGCUGGCGGCGUGCUUAACACAUGCAAGUCGAACGGAAAGAGAUGAAAGAGCUUGCUCUUUUAUUAAUUUCAGUGGCAAACGGGUGAGUAACACGUAAACAACCUGCCUUAAGGAUGGGGAUAACAGACGGAAACGACUGCUAAUACCGAAUACGUUCUAAGCAUCGCAUGAUGCAUAGAAGAAAGGGUGGCCUCUACAAGAAAGCUAUCGCCUUAAGAGGGGUUUGCGACUGAUUAGGUAGUUGGUGAGGUAACGGCUCACCAAGCCGACGAUCAGUAGCCGGUCUGAGAGGAUGAACGGCCACACUGGAACUGAGACACGGUCCAGACUCCUACGGGAGGCAGCAGUGGGGAAUCUUCCGCAAUGGACGAAAGUCUGACGGAGCAACGCCGCGUGAACGAAGAAGGUCUUCGGAUUGUAAAGUUCUGUGAUUCGGGACGAAAGGGUAAAUAGUGAAUAACUAUAGACAUUGACGGUACCGAAAAAGCAAGCCACG
RNAcentral lists this ribosomal RNA (503 nucleotides) under Dialister sp. oral taxon 502. RNAcentral describes it as "bacterial SSU rRNA". It matches the Rfam family "Bacterial small subunit ribosomal RNA", at positions 28 to 495 of the family's 1533-position model. The record is from RNAcentral. Lineage: Bacteria; Bacillati; Bacillota; Negativicutes; Veillonellales; Veillonellaceae.